GAUGAACGCUGGCGGCGUGCUUAACACAUGCAAGUCGAACGGAAAGGCCCAAGCUUGCUUGGGUACUCGAGUGGCGAACGGGUGAGUAACACGUGGGUGAUCUGCCCUGCACUUCGGGAUAAGCCUGGGAAACUGGGUCUAAUACCGGAUAGGACCACUUCUUGGAUGUUGUGGUGGAAAGUUUUUUCGGUGUGGGAUGAGCUCGCGGCCUAUCAGCUUGUUGGUGGGGUAAUGGCCUACCAAGGCGUCGACGGGUAGCCGGCCUGGGAGGGUGUACGGCCACAUUGGGACUGAGAUACGGCCCAGACUCCUACGGGGGGCAGCAGUGGGGAAUAUUGCACAAUGGGCGCAAGCCUGAUGCAGCGACGCCGCGUGGGGGAUGACGGCCUUCGGGUUGUAAACUCCUUUCGCUAGGGACGAAGCGUUUUGUGACGGUACCUGGAGAAGAAGCACCGGCUAACUACGUG
Molecule: ribosomal RNA, 467 nt
Filed under: uncultured bacterium
Lineage: Bacteria
Description: partial 16S ribosomal RNA
Rfam family: Bacterial small subunit ribosomal RNA
Source: RNAcentral